Molecule: non-coding RNA, 3691 nt
Organism: Callithrix jacchus (white-tufted-ear marmoset)
Lineage: Eukaryota; Metazoa; Chordata; Mammalia; Primates; Cebidae
Source: RefSeq, a predicted model, not a curated record
CUAGUCUCGAACUCCUGACCUCGUGAUCCGCCCACCUCAGCCUCCUAAAAUGCUGGGAUUAUAGACAUGAUCCACCAAGCCCAGCCCAGGUAAGGGUUUUAAAAGAAGACUUUGUGUGACCCCGGAUACCUGCAACUGGGACCCAACACUGCCGCAAGCUCUCUCUUUUCUCACGCUCCAACUUCCUCCGAAUACUGAUCUAAAUCUCUUUGCUAAGCUUCCUCUCCAUGGCAGGUAAUGUGGACGAUGGCAGCUUUUGCUCACUGUGCCUCAUGACUUCCGCCAGAGAGGGACAGAGAGGCCUUCAUAGCUUUCACCGGGGCCAGGUGACUGUCAUUAGCUCUUGUUACCCAUUCAUCUGAACUGAUGGCUGCUCACAUCUGGGCUCUGAUUUGUGCUGGGGAGGGAGAACUUUCCAGAGGAAGGGGUCCGUGUCCUGGGAGACAUACAAUGGAGCCCACCACCCUGGUGCUGAGAGCUAGUCCCAAGUCCUAGGGUGCAGUGGGCCCUCCCCCGUAGCCUCUGCUUCCCCUGCCUGGCAGGGAGGGGCAUAGGCUGGGGGAGGAGUGGUAUCUGUCCAGAGAGCCCGUUGCUUUCUGGCUUGAAAAUCCGUAGGAAAAUGGGGAUUUUUCUCAGCUCCUUUUAUUUGGAGUCGGGGCAGCAGCUGUGUGAUUUUCUGAGCGGAAUGCCUUGGAGGAUCCAAGCGAAGGAGUGAAGGAACAACAAAAGAAUCAUUCUCAGAAGCAUGGCAAAAACGAGACCAAAUAAAAACCCCAUAAAAAUCCCUGUGGGGCAGAGGAAAUACCAAGCCAGUGCUUUUGUGCUGCAGAUUCUGUAAUAAAGCAAAGAUUCACAGUUAGGCUGUGCAACUUGCUUAUGUUUGGACUGGAGGGAGAAUGUGCAGGAAAAGGAUAUAAAGAGUCUUCCAGGAAAGGGAGGCAUCACUGUGUGCAUUUGUGUGGUGUGUUGCUGCAGUUCGGGAGCCGACUAAGGACCGGGGUUCAUGGGGAGCCUGAAAGAGACGCUGGACAGGAACUGGGUCAAAGUUGGUGCACAGCUGCCAAGAUCAGAUGACUGUCAGCUGGGCCUGCCCCCUGCUGCCGCUGCUCGAUUGCAGGAGGAACUCUGACCUCGAUUUAGUCACCAAAACACCGGUCUGGAAAGCUCUUUUGAAGAUUGAUUAAAGAAACACUCACAGCACAGAUAAUCAUAAUUGAGUGACGUAGCUGAAUUAUCUGCUGUGAGUGGAAGAAUGCGCUGAUGAGAAAUCUCACAGGCAUGUUCCCUCUCCGUUCCUCUAAUUUGGCUUCCUUACUUAGGGGUGCAGUUUUGGGCCCUGGGAGUGUUUUGAGUUGAGGGGAUGGCAUGGAGGAUGUGGAAACUUUCACUCUCAUUUGGCAGGGUGACACGACCCUGGGCACAGAACACCACCUGUCACCGCACUGCAGCUGGUGUGGCCUGUGGCAGGUAGCGCUGUCCACGAAGCUGACCUGAGACGCUGCCUGUAGGGGCUUUCACUUCUGCUUUGUGGCUGUGGGCUGCCGUGAGCCCACUUUGGGGGAGGGCUCACGGCAGGCAUCGGGGAAGGCCUGGAUUUCAUCUGGGAGUGCCUCGCCUCUCUGCACGAUGGUUCUGCUCUGGGCAACAGCUGGUAUGAGCCACUGCACCCGGCCAAAGAGGUGAUUAAGUUAGAAUGAGGUCACAAGGAUGGGCCCUAAUCCAAUAUGACUGGUGUCCUUCUAAGAAGAGGAGACGAGGACACAGACACACAUAGAGGGAAGCCUAUCUGGGGACAUAGGUGAAGAUGGCCAUUUGCAAGCCAAAGAGAGGCCUCAGAAGAAUCCAACCCUGCUGGCACCUACACCUCAGACUUCCAGCCUCCAGACCGUGAAGAAAUAAAGUUCUGUUGUGGAAGCCAGUCUGUGGUCCUAUGUUAUGGCAGCCCAAGGAGCCCAGUACAGCCUCUCAACACGUUCGCUGCGCACACAGUCAUCUGCAGGUUAUCUAGACCAUCUACAGACAGAAGGAAAGACGUACAGGAAAAGGAACAGGAACGAGCUCAUUUUUUCUUCAUUUUCUCCUCCCAAACCGCCCCUACUCAGCCUCUCCUUACCUCUACCCCCAGCAGAAAGCAGAAACUUAAGGGGAAAUGAAACAGGGGCAGCAAUGCCGCCCUACAGAAGCUCUGGAAUAGAAUGGACAUCUUUCAGUAUAGAAUCAGAAGCAUCAUUUUCUUCUGGCUGUCCCCACCUCUCUAAGUUUGUUUUUAACUCAUGUGUAUGGACACACACGGCCAGAACACACACAUGGCCUGAUGGAGCAGCCUCGUGUGUGCAUCUUGAAAGACUGGGAACAGGGACCCCAGCUGCUGUGGACACGCUGUGACUGUGUGGCUGGCAGUGUGUUUGCCAGUGUUUGCCAGUCCCAGCUUUAUGGGGCAUGGUGGCUGGAAAAGGCUCCAAUAAAAUGAUUCUCUGGGCACAAAUGAUGUCACUUUUUGCCCUUUGUGUGUACAAAUGAUGCCAGUGUUGUGGUUCCACGCUAUUGCUACAGGAGGACUGUCCUCUGAUUUACGGCCCUGGCGAAUGGCUGUGUGCUCUGAUCUCUUGAUCUGCAGGAAUCAUCUUGAGAUCUCUGGAAUCACCUCCAAGUCUUCAAACCUGCUGUGCUUAUUAAGAAGCCAGGCCCGUUUAAAACUGGCUCAGUAUGGAAGACACGGUGCUUCUCUUUCUUCUACAGUAUCUACCAUUUCGGAUCAAAGAUAUUUUUCACUACACAGCACAAUAAUAAUCCUGUCCUGUCAGUCUUUUUGCAAUCCUGGCUUAGUUCACCGAUUUUAAAGGGAACUGGGAUUCCAGGAGCUCAGUGUUGACCAACGGGUCCCAUGUUGCGAAGGAUUGUGUCCCCAGAGGACUUUGGCCAAGAUGUGACCGCAAGUGUGGCUGCAGUCAGCUUCUUUGUGCGUGCUGGGGAGUGAAAUUCGCACGUCACAGUCACUUUUCCCUCAUAUUGAUAGUGGUGUUUUAAAGUCCAGUGGCAUUUCUUCAUUUAAUGUCAUUGUGAAAACAAGCUUCCCUUUCUUUUCUAUGUCUGUUCCAGUGAUGGUCUGAGGGCCAGCCCAGCAAGUGUCCCAAAGGCCCCAUAUGCUCAGCCCGUCCUGCCCCGCUUCCUCCUGCAGUGCCUUCCUUUCUUGGCCUUCAUUUCUGCCCCUCGGCCCUGCCUUCUUCCUCUUGCUCCCCGCUUAUUGCCAAGCAGAAUCCUCUUACUUGAUGGGACCUUGGGCGUGCCCUACUCUUGAGGUUAGCUGCGUUUUAGAGGAGUGACUCCUGAAUAUCAUAAGCUUUCAAAAUGUAAGGAAAUUAUCUCCCAGUGCUUGAAUGGAGCCAAGGUUUUCUCCCUUGACUGGUUGGGCAGACAGGUCUACUCUGCUGACUCGCAUAACCAGGCAAGGUGAUCUGCCUGGUUCUAAGCAGCAUCCCCUCCUCGGAGUGUGUCUGUCUGCAUGUUUGGCUGGUGUGCAGAUGCCUUCUCAGGUAGGUCUGGGGUGAUGCGAGCUCCUAUUACUCAAGGAUAUUGAUUAUGUAUCUUGCUGCAAGUGGAGACGGACGUGGGCUCUUGGUGCCAUCUCACUGCCACCUUCCCUUAGCCCCAGAGCUAUAAUGACUAGCUAGCCAAUGAAAACAAACAAAUA